GUGUCACAAGCAUCGGCUGGUUGUUAUUCGACUGUCGAAUUAUUCAAUAUGGCAAUUUUAGGGGCUUUGUUGCUUGUAUUUUUUUUUACUUUGAAUACUAUUGAUAUCAGUGUAUGCGUGAAUUGGCAUUCAUUUGGAAGUAAAAAGUAUAUGUUUAUUGAAGACAAGUUAAAUUGGUUUGAUGCGCAGACUGUUUGUCAGGCAAUGGGAAGUAGAUUGGCACAUGUUAUGAGUGCAGAUGAAAACAGUUUCUUAAUCUCUAUGACAAACAGUAAGUACUUUUUCUACAAUACAUUAUACAUGUUAUUUUCCAUAACGUUUAUGCAUACAUUUACUUUUCAAUGAUUUGAUAUUUGAAAUACAAAAUUCAUAUCCAGAGACUCCAUAUGAGAGUUAUUUUCCCUUCUGUAUGUAAAAAUCAGUGAAAUAUAAUGUUUAAGUGCAUGGGCUGUUUUCUGUAUGACAGUCUAAAUUUUCAUAUCCAUACCAAACAUUAUUGUAAUGUUUUUUCCCCCAAAUUUUACGAAAAAAAUGAGGCGUUAGACACCAAUUUUUUAUUUCAUCUUGUGGUUAAUUAAUGUCAAUGGUUUCAGAAAAGGUAUUAUUCAAAGGCAUUCAAUUUCUAGUUUGACCAAAUUUUGGGGGAAUACGUGACAUUUUAACCCUUUUUCACAAUUUCAUGGUAAAUAAAUACAGAAAUUUGCCUUGGAUACAUAAAAAAGGAAUUAUAUUUCAGCAUAUUGACGUUUGAAAAUCAAAUCUACGGAAUGUACCGACUACAUACAUGACAAAAAUGCACAUGUAUGACACAAACAGUUAGCUUGAUGUACAAGAAAACCAUUAACAGAAGAUAAUUAAACAUUUAGUGGUUCAAUUUCAAUUUCAUUUUCUAACUGUGGAGUGCUACUUUAGGCGUUAUAGGCGACAACUGUACGUCACUGUGCCUUGGUGGUUAGGUACUGUUGAAAUGAUAGCAGUGUAUUUGUACACGAAAAAAACGACGAAAUGGGUUUUUGCUUUUUGUCAUACAAAUUGGGGCGAAUUAUCUUUGUAUAGGUAGUCUUUGAAUAUCUUCCCUAUAAAUAUUCCAAUUAUGUCUCUGCUAGAAACAACUGCAUGGAUCGGAGGUGCAGAUAUUCACCAAGAAGGUGACUGGAGAUGGUACAGCCCUUUAACAGAAAUAGAUUUCACAUACUGGCAACGCACCCAACCCAACCAGGGAAGAAGUGCUAAUUGUAUGUGCUACUACAAAUUCUCUUCAACAGUUUUCAAGUGGGCAGAUGAACCAUGUACCAAUGGCUAUUAUUUUGUGUGCGGAAAGUAAGUCAUUCGAAUAUGUUUAAUCUUUUUUUCAAAUAGAGACAGGAAAAUGAUGUGGUACUUUUCUACAUUAUUAUAUGAUAUAAAAAAUAAAUAACACUUUAUAAUGUCGCAUGCUCUCAAUCUAUAUAUCAAUGACAAUGGUUAAGUCCAUGAAUAAGUAUAUGUAGUUCGACAGCAUGUAGUGCUUCACAUCUGGGCUAUAUUACUUAUUAUUACAGUCUCUGUUUUCAUUUCUUUACCUUAAAUCUGUUGAAUAUAACAAUUUAGAUUGCUAAAUUUUUUUAGAGAUGUAUAAGUACCAAGCCACGUUCAACUAGUUUACUUUAGUCAAAAUUUAUUAUUAUCUUUUAACGGCCGUUUGUUUUAAACAUCGCAGACUCUAAUGUAACUACACUACCGUUGUCAAAUCUGAAAUAUUUACAAAUUUAGACCGUUCAGUGCUGUUUAUUUGGAAUUCUUAUUGAUGCAUCUUGUAACAUCACAAUUGUCGACACUGUUAAAGCUUUAGAAUUUUGCUAGUUCAUAACGCACAUUAUUAUUUUUAUUUAAAGCAUAUAUUUACACUCUCUGAUGUAAUUAGUCAUAUAACCUAUGUCGUGUUUAACAAAUGUUUAGAAUUGUGCAAGCGUCUUACAUGAUGUUCGGUUUGACUUUUUUAUUGUAUAAAUUUCAAGAUUGUAUAACAGCUUAAUCUAAGUAAACUGAUAAUGCUUACACAUAGCAAUCAGAUAUACUGCUGUUCAUUUUGACGUAAAAUACCUUAGGGUUUUUAGAUUAUGAACUAAAAAAAAGUUGAUUUUGAUUAUGGAGCUUUACAAAAAUCUUCAAAGCUCGGGAGUGUUUUUUGUUCUAGUAUACUGAUAAAAAAUGCUUUCAAUCCUUAUUAUUCAUGAAGUGUUGACUUUUUAUACAUGAUGUAACUAUAAACGUUUUAUCGUAUAUUUCAGUAAUAAAAAUCAAUUUAGUUUUGUGUUAAAUGUACACAUUUUAAGCUUUAGGUUGGGUCCCGUACUGUUACGGUAUAUUAGAAAAACGAUAUGUUGUUAUUGUAUAAAUGUCAUUUUGUUGGGCAUAAGCCAAGGUCUUUUUAUCAGAAAAGAUAAGUACUCUUCAAACGUUUUCCGAAUAUCAAGGAGAACAUUUACUUCACUUAUAUAAUUGAUAUCAGUGCAACUAAAUAUUUGAUUUAAUAUGGAACACUUUUAUUUAAAAAAGUAUUUUGGUUUUCGUACUUUAAAUAUGAACUGUUGAUAUGAAAUGAUAUUGGUAAAAUAUUGCAGGGUAAAAGAAGACCACGGACACGACGAUAGAUUUUCAACAAGUGGAGACAACUGCAUGAAAAUGUGCUUACAGAAUAGCAAAGAGGAAGCUGGAAAAUGCAUGAAAAUUUGCCUUUGAAAUAAAGCAAUUAUCCAAUGAAUGAGUGAUUGCCAGAAGGUUGUCUCUCCUAGCUGUAUAAUAUUCGUUAAAUAUUGAAGCAGACUAUUUGUCUUAAUCUGAAACAAACAUAAAAAUAUGUUCCAUAACUCCUAACUCUUCAACAUUUUUUUUGUUCUUACAUUAAUAGAAUUUUAACAAUAAAUAACCUAUAGA
Molecule: long non-coding RNA, 2916 nt
Filed under: Mytilus galloprovincialis (Mediterranean mussel)
Lineage: Eukaryota; Metazoa; Mollusca; Bivalvia; Mytilida; Mytilidae
Source: RNAcentral